UCGUCGGCCAAUUGAUAUGGCAUUGUGGCGAAGCGGCAUAAAAUGGUGGCGCAAUCGUCUCUGUGCCACUCACUGUUGUCGGAGAAUAAGCACGCGGCCUGCAACUACGACUGCAGAGGCGUUAACUGUGGGAAGUGUUGCUCGUAAUGCCGCUGAAAUGCAUGAAAACCCCCGACACUUGUGGGUUAAUAUGUGCAUAUGUACAUACAUAUGUAUGUACAUACAUACAUAUAUCAGAUAUUUAUGCAGAUUUGUCUUACGUACAUAUGUAUGUACAUAAAAGUAUGUGUGACCGAUAGAAGUGAUGACGUUGAUACCCACUUUACAUUUUUUAAGAAUGAUCUAGAACGACGGAAUUUUAUCUGGAUUUCAAACUUGCCAUUCCUCGUUUUCAAUUUCUAAACGACAAAAACCUCCUGAACUCUGUCAACUGUCAAAGAUUUCCAAUGGGAGAUGCGUUGGACAUCUUAUCAAUUGGAAACGGAUGAAUAGAGCUGCAACCAAAUACACAAUGGAUUAAACUGCCGGACAAUUUCUGAAUCUGUCAUGUGGUACCCGGACAUAAAAAAUAAUUACUUGGAUCAUGACUGGCUCAGAUUAUAUUAGUGGGAUAAAAUAGAAAUGUUGAAUUUCCAGAUGAAACAAUUAAUGUCAAGGCAACGUUAUAAUUACCCAACAAUUUAUUCAGAUCCAACGACUUUAGAGUAUGGCUGUCAUUGAAACGGACUAAUCAAAAUCAGGAUAAAGACCUACAUAAAGGGCUUUUCUAUUCUAGGUGAUACGUACAACCGAUAGGUGAACAAAACUAUAAUAUUCUGUAGCAACUGGUUGCAAGAUAUGACGACAUUGACUUAGU
This is a long non-coding RNA of Bactrocera neohumeralis, 856 nucleotides long. RefSeq lists it as uncharacterized. Lineage: Eukaryota; Metazoa; Arthropoda; Insecta; Diptera; Tephritidae. The record is from RefSeq and is a predicted model, not a curated record. The transcript has 4 exons.